GUUCACUUCGGCUGCACAUAUACGAAAAAAUUGGAACCAUACAGGGAAGAUUAGCAUGGCCCUUGUGCAAGGAGGGCACACAAAUUUAUGAAUCGUACCCCCAUAUG
Molecule: small nuclear RNA, 107 nt
Organism: Echinops telfairi (small Madagascar hedgehog)
Lineage: Eukaryota; Metazoa; Chordata; Mammalia; Afrosoricida; Tenrecidae
Source: RefSeq, a predicted model, not a curated record